UGAGGUCAGCUGCUUUGACAAUGUUGCACUACUGUACCAUCCAUUCUAGCAGUGCAAUAGUAUUGUCAUAGCAUUUGGCCUCGGC
Molecule: microRNA precursor, 85 nt
Filed under: Takifugu rubripes (torafugu)
Lineage: Eukaryota; Metazoa; Chordata; Actinopteri; Tetraodontiformes; Tetraodontidae
Also listed under: 3 other names
Description: mir-301 microRNA precursor family
Rfam family: mir-301 microRNA precursor family
Source: Rfam by way of RNAcentral